This 37165-nucleotide long non-coding RNA is filed under the name Pelobates cultripes (western spadefoot toad). The record is from RNAcentral. Lineage: Eukaryota; Metazoa; Chordata; Amphibia; Anura; Pelobatidae.
AGUGGACCGGUAUGUCUACACGUAAGAGAAAAUGUGGUAAACGUGUUAUCUCUACACAAACAGCAAUGAAGACCUCACACAGUAAGUGUUCAGAUAAUUAAAAAUUAUUUUGUAGAAGUACCCCUUACUGGGGGGCAGGUCCUACACACUUCCCAGUUGGAAGGGAAUUACAUGCUGCCUUGAGAUCAUCUAUGGAGAUUAGGCACUUAAUGUUAUCUAAAGUGUCUUCCACAAUGCUACCUUUUACAAGGCAAGAAAUGUAUUCUAAAAUGAAGUUUCAUGUGGAUCCAUAACAAGGCUUUAGUGAUGAUAUGAGGUUUGUAAGGUUUCCGAGAUGUUGUAAGGUUUCCGAGAGAAGGUGCAUUGAUAAGAUGGGUGUAGUUUGUGCUACUUUAUUGCCCUCUUGGUAGUGAUGGGAUAAGGAAUGGACAAAAGACUUGACUUUACUUUAGCAUUUAAAGGAUACUAAGUUUAUUUCUGGCUUUGCGAGUUUCUAAAAUAUUAGGUCUGACAAUUUUAGUUCAUUCUGGAUAUCACCUUAAUUAGGUGAGAUUGUCUUUUGUUAAAGGGACAAGCACCAGGACCACAUUAGUGAUUCUAAGUAGUUAUGGUGCCUGCACUCUGUACAUACAGCAUUUGGCUAUGAAACACUCCAUAUACUGAGCUUAGCCCCUUUGCUGACAUAGGUGUAACCCCACUUCCAGCAGCAUCAUUUAUUUGCACAUAAUUGCAUUCAUUAGUUGAGAGUGGAUAGGGUGACCAGAUCCAUCAAGUUUUCAAGGACUCGUAUCACAUAUACGAAUUUAUGGAUAGCACAUGAAAAGGUGUAGUUUGUAGAACUCAGAAGAAGGUGUAUAAGAUUACGUAAUUAGGAAAUAAAGAAUCCUGCAGAAUACGCAUAACACACUGCACAGCAAUCCUUUUCAUGCUUUUUUUUUUUUUACAAAUAUGACAAAUUAUGUGUUCCUGAAAACAUGGUAGAUGUGGUCACACUAAAAAUGGUCAGCUGACACUGAGCCAAGGAAUGGCUGGUAGAAUUGGCAUCUGCAGCAUCACCAUUACCAUAGAGAAGCCUCAGCGUCUGAUGGGACCCAGGGGAGAGGGCAAAGUGUUGCAAAAUGGUUUGCCCCAUUAACACGAAACUGGGUCAGGGUAUUCCUGGCAUCAUAACCACUGAAUUAGGUUUCACUUAAACAUUAGACUUUAGAGGUUAUUAUGCUUGGAGUAACCUUUUAAUGUGGGUGAAUAGGCAAAUGAUGGCACCCCUUACUACACAUUUAUGGACUUCCCAAACCACCAUGGAAGUGGAACAUCUUUUUGAUUCUCUUAAAAGUAAUUGGAAAUGUGUUGAGGUAAGUUGUGAGGUCACCUCUGGUCAUCAAAAAGUGAGCAAAAGUGUCACAAGUGUGUAAAAGUUAGGCAUAGGGACAAUGUGGGUUAGUCACAUCCAGGUAUUGACUGAGUUGGUGGAUGUCCUAGGUUUUGUUGUGUAUAGGUGCCAUAUUGAGAUGUGCAUGUGAAAGCAACAGGUAGGAACAGGUAGUCCAGAUGGGAAUACUGCCUAUAAGGGUAAGAAAAGUAUAUCUAUGGGGCGUGGAAUUGUGUAUGCACCAGACAUCUACCAAGCGAGCCUUGUGUAGAGCAGCACAUAACUUACAAAUUUGGGAUAGCAGAGGAGAGAACUUGCCCGUGGAGGAGUCCAGACCAGGAUUCAUGGGAAUGUUCAAAUCCCCAUUGAACACUAGGAUUCCCUCUGUAAAGGAUGACAGUUGGUGAAUGACCUUCAAUAGAAAGAAUAUUUGAUUAGUGUCAGGAGCAUAAACGUUUGCUGAAGAAAACAUCAAGCCCUGUAUUUGAGCCCUGAUAAAAAUGUACCUGCCUGAAAGGUCAUUUUGGCAAAGUGUUGGAAUAGCCAGUAGAUUUUCCACCCCUUAUAAGAGAUCAAAAUGCCAGAAACCUAUGUGGCCAGAGGGACAAAGGGAGAACAGCAGGCAAUGCUUCAAAUUAACUAAUCUUCAGAAUUAAGAGCAGGAUCUGGCGCAACCAUUAGGCAUACUAGGCAUUCACCUAGGGCGCCGGCCUAAAGGGGGCGCCUACCGGGAUAUUUCCUGGUGGGCUCCCUUGUCCUGGAGCCACCCCCUUCAGCGCCGGGCCAAUCAUCCAGGCUGAAUGUCUAAUUCUGUGUGUCAGUGAGUGUGUGAGUGUUUGACUGUCAAUGAGUGUGUUUGUGUGUCUGUCAGUGAGUGAGUGUAUGUAUGUCAGUUAGUGUCUGUAUGUGAGUGUAAUUUGUCAGUGAGUGUAUGUAUGUCAGUGGGUGUCUGUCUGUGUGUGUCAGUGAGUGGGUGUAUGUCUUUCAGUGAAUGUGUGUCUGUCAGUGAAUGUCUGUGUGUCUGUCAGUGAGUGUCUGUCUGUGUGUCUGUCUGUCAGUGAGUGUGUGUGUAUGUCGGUGAGUGUGCGUGUCGGCCAGUGAGUGUAUGUCUGUCAUUGAGUGUGUGUGCCUGCCAGCAUGUGUCUGUCAGUGAGUGAGUGACAUGAGGAGGCGGCAAAAUGGAUCUUUGCCUAGGGCGGCAGAAAUCCUUGCACUGGCCCUGGUUACGAGUCACAGUAGCAAAAAUUUAAUGCUUUACAUUUUUAAGUUUUUGUUGCUGUCGCAUUUUGUCAUUUGAUGCCCUCUGGCUUUUGUGAAUAAAUUCUUAAGAUUAUUUAAUUGGAUACAUUGCUUGCUGUUCGGCCUCUUUGCUUCACUGAUGACUGUGUAGUAUAAUGAGUUUUUCUACAUAUGUUUUUUAUUAUAUGGUGUAGAGCAGCAACAUAUACAACAGCACAAUGGGUGUAAUGUAUUUAUAUAAUAUAUUUAUAUUUAUAUGUGCAUGUGUGUGCAUUUAAAGACUUGUGUUAAGAGACAGCACAUUCUCUAUAUAGUUAUUGCCAACAGUAAACGAAAAAUGUAAUUUUUAUACAUCAUUUUAUGACACCUUCCAUCUCAUUCUAUUCAGUAACCAAAUAAAACCAGUUUUACUCUUUGCCCACCUACAUAUAAUUCCUUUGCAGUAGGUUUCAAAAUUAGAUGCAACAACCUUUUCUAGGGCACUCUGUUCAGAUUAAACUUGUUAGAACAUUUGCAUAUAUAUAUAUAUAUAUAUAUAUAUAUAUAUAUAUAUAACGACUAGAGCAGAGGCAAGUGUGUGGCCACAUAGUCAUCAGGUGGCCAGAUUGCAUUAAUUUGGUCAGGAGUGUCUAAAGGGAACCUUGUUGUCAGAAGACUACAGUCAGUGUGUAAAUGACCUACUGUGACCUACAUUACUGGUAAUAAAUUAUGUAACCGAACAUGGUCUGUGGGAUAGACUCCCAAUGCCACAGAAUUGGAUGUUUGUUGCAGAGUGCCAAUGCGAUGCCUUAGCAUAUGUGAAGAUGCAAUACAGGGAAGGGUACAAGCCACAGUAGGUAAUAGAUGGCGUCUCCAAGUAAUUGUGGGAAAUGAUAAGGAAUUUAAGCCCCAAGAGUAGUCUCUAUGAAACACAAGUGAAUCCAGCAUGAACUGGAGGCACGUUGGCAGUAUAUAGUGAAACUAGAAGUUAUGACAGGUAAACACUGGCCCAAAGACUAAGGGGGAAACUCUGGGCUGAUUGUCAUUGGGUUAGUAUGAUGUGUUAGAGAUGAGAAAUCAUAUUUACACAACUUUCCCAUUUCAUGCUUUAGUCUUGAAAAGGGGAGGUUCUCCCGAAAAUUUGUCAUUACAGAAUUCUGUUAGUUCAACAAAAAGUUAUUACAACAUAUGGAUUUCCUCUGUUAUUUUACAUAAAUAUAUAUAUAUACAUAUAUAUAUAUGUGAAACACUACAUCCUUGCACUCGGGCUAUUGAGUCCAUAUUUUGCCAGAUGCAUUAAAUCUUUCAUCAGGAUUCUUCGAUCCUGAUGAAAGUCCCGUAAGUGGACUGAAACGAUGAUCUGUUUUUACUGAUUUCUUCAAUAAAGACUUGAAUUUUUAACAGAAGACCAUGAGUGUAGCUACCUAUUCUACUCUCUCUCUCUCUCUCUCUCUCUCUCUAUAUAUAUAUAUAUAUAUACACACACAUAUAUAUAUAUAUAUAGACUUGUAAUCAAAAUUAUUCAUCACCCAUGGAAAAUUAGGUUUGUUGUCAAAACUAAGAGACUUUCAGCUGUUUGCAAUGAACAAAUCAAACAAAAGCAAUUGAAAUGGCUCAACACAACAAUUAUUUCAAGUGUUUUUCCCCAAAUGCAACUAAAAAUGCAACUUAUAAUGACUAAUGCAGUUAUAAAUAUUCAACCCCCUGAAUAAAAUCUCUCACAACAGAAUAAAUAUGCAAAGCAGGUGUUGUCCCCCACCUGAUGCAGCUAAGCAAGGGCUUCAUUAGUUGCACCAGGUGUGCUUAAAGCUGGAACACAUUAAAUACUUGAACUGGCUAGGAGUUUGUGUCACAUUUAACUGCAUGUUAGAAAUAUGCCUAAGUCAAAGGAAUAGUCCACAAAAUUAAGAAAAUAAUUCAUCACCCUUCACAAACAAGGAACAGGAUACAAAAAGAUAGCGAAGGCACUGACUGUUCCUAGAGACACCGCUGGAAGCAUAAUUCUCAAGUUCAAAGUUGAAGGAACAGUGGUCACACUGCCUGGGCGGGACAGAAAAAGGAAGCUAUCAAUUGCAGCAAGCAGAUUGUGACAAACCCUCAAGUGACCACAAAUCAUAUAAAAUCAGGGAUGUAAUUGGGGGCUCUUGCUGGGUUUAAGUGUAGAUGUCUAGUUGAGAGGAGAGAGUGGAGUUGUAGAGGGAGGUUGCAGUAUUAGGGCAGGUGAGGUUUGAGAUGGGUUGGUGAAGAAUCGUUGUAGGUCAAAAAAGUGGAGGUUUCUGGGAGAUUGAUGUGGUGAGGGUGGUUAAUUUGUGUAUGGGGUAUGCUGAUGUCAAAAGUCAGAAGGUAGUUGUCAGAUAGAGGUAGUUGUCAGAUAGAGGAAAUUGAACUUUGGAGAGAUGGGUGAAGAUGAGUUCAACAGUGUUUCUUGCUGUAUGAGUUGCUGAGUUAGACCACUGUCUGAGUCCAAAAGAGGAGGUUACAGAGAGCAGACGAGAGUCCUUUAAGGCAGUUGGGGUUGUUGAUUGGGAUAUCAAAGUCCACAAGAAUGAGGGAAGAAGUGCUAGAGAAGAGGAAAUGGGGUAGCCAGGAAGAAGAGUGUUAAAUAAAUAGCCUAGGAUGACCGGUGGGGGGGGUGGAGUCUAAAUUGAUGGCAAUUCUUAGAGGAGUGGGCUUAAAUAGGCGGACAGUGUGAACUUCAAAGGAAGGAAAACAUAGGGCAUGAGCAGGGAAGAUUGGUUGAGGCCUACACCACCUUCUUUACAGUUGUUUGGUUUGGGAGUGUGGGAGAAUUGUAGCCCACUGAAACAUAAAGAAGCAGGAGUAGGGCUAUCAGAGGGGAUGGUUAGGUCUCAGUGAGUGCAAGUAGCGCAAAACAAUUUGAGAUGAAAAGGUCGUGUAUGGCUGUUGAUUUCAUACUGCUGCAGAUGGAGUGGGCGUUCCAGAAUAGACUUGAACCCAUAGAAAAUCUCUGGUGGGAUUUGAAGAAGGCGGUUGCUGCACGCAAACCUAAUAGGCUAAGAUUGCUCAGGAACACUGCCAGAAGCUGGUGUAUGGCUAUGCAUCUUGUUUGUAAGCACCAAAGAUAGUUUCCAUGAAGGGGUGUAAAAAUUGUGAGACUGGAGAAAUCAUAAUAAGUUGCAUUUUUCUGUUGAAUUUGAAACCACUCAAAGCAUUCAUUGUGUUGACUCAAAGCAUUCUUUGUGUUGAGAUAUAUUUUAAUUGUUUUGUUCAUUGCAAACCGCUGAAAGUCUGUCAAUUUUGACAAUAAUCUUAAUUUUCAAUGAUUUUGAUUGUAUAUCUAUCUAUCCAUUUAUCUACACACACACACAUAUGUAUGUGUGUGACUUUUUUUAAAAAUUAGCAUUUGCAGGAAAACAUCUGACAUAACAUAGAAUUUCUGUGAAUACCACAUUUGGAACAUAUAUAACAUGCAUGUUUAGGGCUGAAACGUUGCAUAUUGUUAGUUUUUUAGAAGAAACACAAAAACAUAGACAGAGACUGAAAGAUUUUCUCAUAGUUUUGUGUUUGUGGCCCUACAUUUACUUGAGAAUGUUGCAAGAAGCCACUGCAAGGGACUGGUUUGCUCUUUCUGGAGUCAUGGGACACAUGACUAAUGGAUAUGACCAAUCAAGGUAGAGCAGUAGAAUCUAGAUUUCAAGCAGAGGUGAAAGGGCAGGAGAGGACUUAACAAAAGGAUAAAGAGACUCUGCACACAGAGCAAUUCUAUUAGGUGAACAAGACAUAACAGUGAGGCAGCAAUAUGUCUGCAUGAUCCUGUGACACAGAUAUUGACUCUGCUCUCUAAUUAUAGGUUGCUGAAUGAGAAAGAGGUUGUGACAUAACAUCUUUUAUCCUGACCAUGCUCACAUUCAAGCUAGCCAUGACAGUACAUUGUGGACUGCUGCCAAUGUUUGUGAGUCUAGAAAACAAAAAGACUGGCUCAAACCAUGCUGCUUCAUCAGAUACUUAUCUUGAUCGUCAUUGAGACCUAACCGACUGACGACCUAAAAGCUGAAAGUGGCGAACAAUCUCUCAACUUGAGCUAUGCUCUGUUGAAGCAAAACCCUGUUGCCCCCUCUUCUUUUGGGGGAUAUUUCCGUCCCCGCUGGGAAAGAUACUCAAUCUGCACUAUUGGAAGAAUUUCUUGCUGUUCCAGAGACCAUGUGGUGUGUCUAUGAUGACCACUGCACUAAAACUCCAGCAGAGUAAAGAAGAAUGGAAAGGUCAGACAUGGAAGGAACUCUUAGAUGCAAAAGAUUUGUUGGGUGAUCUGGGACUAUAUUAACAGCCGAUAUCACUUCCUAACUACAAGUACCAAAUCACAGACACAAGCCAAUACUACAGCUCAUGGUUCUUCUUUCACUUGGAGCAGCAAUUCUUCCCAUAGCCCAGAGUCCUAGAGUCCCAGAGGGCUCUUUGUGACAUGGAGUUCCUGGAGGGCUUCAAUCCGGCACCUUGGAGUAAGAGGAUCCUUGGACAUAGGGAAACGGCUCCCAUCAAGGCCUAGGCUAACUACAUGAAAUCUAGAUACCUAACAAGCUCUGUGAAGGGGCAAGAAGUGACAUCAUGCCGGGCAUAGAGACUGGCUUUCUGUUGUGGCCUGCUUGUAGGGUCGGAUGACUCCUAGCUGAAGAUAUCUCUGUAUACAAAUAGUAUUUGCUCUAUUAGAAUUGCAGUGAUUUAUGAUAUCUUCUUUGUUGUGUUAUUUUCCUGAUUAUUCCCAAUAUCCAGUGGUACUAAAACUUCAUCACCCUAGCUAUAUGUCCAACAUGAGCUUAUUUUAAAAGUCUCACGCAGUGUGGUGAACUGAUCUGUCUUACCUGUUUAGUUUAUCUUGCAUGUCUCUAACACACACCUGUUUGAAUAUUUUGGCCUUAUCAUACAAAGCAAAUAAAAUUGCACAUUCUUAAUGUAUCAAGUAUUACUUUGGUGACUUCUUUUAUUUUGUAUAGUGUUAUUGAUAUGUUAUUGUCAGCUUGUCUGUUCAUCUCUGCACUACAAAAAUAAAGAUUGACAAAAAAAAAGUUAGGGAGGGAGGUUCAGGAAAAUUAAUUAAACUAAAAUCUAGAGGUUAGCAAAAUGGAUUAAGAGGAGAGACAAGAAAAAGACUUCUGAUUACAGAGAUAUCGGUGGAAACAUUUGAAGCAAAUGAUUAACUAUAGUGUUUAUUCGGUUAACUUUAAAUUUGAGUAAAUUGAAAUCUGAAUGGCAAAAUUGAAGCACAAUUAGACUUUUGUCUAACAUAGCCUGAUUAGAGAAUUUUCCAGAUCUACUAUUUGGACUACAUUUUAAAAAUUGCAAGAGAAGAGGAAAGAGAUAUAGGGGGAAGAGAGGAAAACACUAAGAUUGGUUUAAAUGUAAUGUCAUAUAGCUGACAUGUAUUUUUCCUAUAGGAUAUAGCUUAGAGUUAGCUGUAGUUGAGUCUUUACAACAGGCAAGAGAGUGGAAUUAAGUUCUGAGCCUUAAACAGUAGUGACUGAUUUGGAAACCAAUUGUUUGCCACAGUUCAUAGAGUUAAUGUGGUCAAAGGUUUAAGAUUCAUAUGAUCUAAUUCAAUUAUAAAAAAUUCAGGAAAAUUGAAAAGUCCAUUUCAUUUAUACAUUAAUUAAACAUGUUGAUUUAUUUUUCAUGUAAUAAUUCCCAAAAUCUAGCUGCUCAUAAUUGUUACUGUAUAUGAACAGUUUGAAAUUAGCAAUUACCUUUUGCUUUUUCUUGCCAUUUUCUUUUUUAUUACCCAAUGUUAUACUUUUCAACAUUUUAAGAGACAAAAGAGAGACACUAUAAUUUUAGGGGCAUGACUAAGAGACAGGGCUACUCCAGUACAUUUAAAGACUCAAGGACUCAGUUUAAUAUUUAUGGAUAAACUUUUCAAAUUAUUUUUUUUUUCAAAAUGUUAAAAUACCAAAAAAUAUAUUUAAAAAAUGUAAUAAAUUCUAAAUGUUACGGCGGUCGGGGCCUGACCAUGGAGCCGACAGGACGUUAGCCUCAACAGCUCCGGCCAAAGGCGGCAGAAAAAAACGACACUACGCGACGAAAACGGCAACCAAAUGGCAAAUAAAAGACUGCUAGGCGAAGGGGGACACCGGGAAGCACUCAACUAUACCCUCCAAGCGACUAUUGCUCCGGCAUACACCCGAUACCCUGGCGAGGCCUCCCAUCAUGGCUGACGCGGGAGAGAAAUUUGCCACGGAACCCUUGUUCCCCCCUCUGGUCCAGCGGGGGUUAUCCCGGACCACCCCCACACAAUCCCCCUGACAAGAGGAAGCCCGACAACCCGAACAGGCAAUAUGGAGGCCGCGGGUGGGGACUACAAAAUGGCGAAUGGCACACACAAUGCAGUCCUAAACAAAGUCUGGAGGGACACAGAGCUCCGACUAAAUUACAUAUUCUGCUCCUUUCGGGGGAAGCUAGAGAGGCUUAUGUGGCCCCCGGAAUCAAAGAACCUGGCCGAUGGCACACCACAAGGCCCGCCACAGGAGACCCAAAAGAGAGACACUCAGACUCUCACCCCAGGCUAAGCAAGCACCUGAGAAGGGCCACUCGGGUGACAGAUGCCCAGAACCACGCCAACAACAGAGGCCACCAGACAAAGGUGAGGAAAAUCAACAACACCCCCAUGAUGCAGUGCCAAACACCACCUCACUUGCCAGAAGCGUCUCAGCACAAGAAGGGCAAAGGCCAACACAACCGACCAAGAAAGAGGCAGCCUACGAGGCCCAAAAUGGCAUCAGCGGCAGACCAACUUCACCGCUACAGAUGCAGCCGACGACCACACCAAAAGGUGGGACCCACAACCGGGACUAUACUUUACUUGCCAAGAGGGCCACCUCAUCAUGUAGAGAUAUCCCGCUCCCACAUUAUCAGACCGCAGGCAUCGAAGCAUGCACCAGCACAAGAGGCCCACAAGACCCCGCAGGGCAUCAGCUGACGGACACGAUAAAGGGGCAGCCACAUGAACUCUAGGACUGCUGCCUCCAUCACAGAUGCAAAUUACACAAGCUCUUACAGGCUCACCACACAUAUACCCACAGACCUACAGCAGAGUGUAGGCUCUACCCAUCAAAGCCCCAACAAUUAGAUACAUACACCAGCUACACCAGGUAUCAGCGGGGGGUAUAGCCCUUGGGACAAUCAACACACUAGCAAUGAGAGCGGUAACCUAAUUAUACCAAAUUGUGUCAGUCUAGCAUACACAGACAAUCUAAUGUUUAAACGCUCAUCUUUAUGCUACAGACCACUAGAAAUGUAUAUAUUAACUGAUUUUUCACUUUGCCUCUUACAUUGCUUUAAUCAAUAUGUUGGCCAUUACGCUAGUCUCAUUAACUCAUUGUUCAUAAUAGUGCAGUAUCAUCUUGAGAGAGGGGUCCGCCGACACUUAAAAAAUGCUACAGCCUGUUUACUUACCGUUAAAAAUUUUGAUUGCAUGCAAGGCGCUAUAGGCGUGGGGCUACCUAAGCCUGCUUAGUUAUAAUCGUUAAACGCAUAACCUUCACAGAGUGUAUUACAAAUGCUGAAGACAACGCUUGCAUCUUAUAUGUUAUGUUUUCCCACUGUCUAACCCUCAUACCAUCAUAACCAAAAAUUUGUGCUGUCUAUUCAAAUGCCAUAUCAAACUUAUUAUACCUGUUAUCAUUCUGCUUGCGACACUAUUGUGGCUGACUUACUGUUACUGCACGCACAACAAAAAAUAAAGAAUUUAAAAAAAAAUGAUAAAUGUUACAACAUUUUAAAUUUCUUUUUAUAAUAUUAAAUACGUUUAUCCAAAUAUAUGAAAUUAUUUGAAAAGCUUAUCUUACAAUAUUCAAUUAAGGCUAAAAUAACAAAAUGAUUCCAAUAUGUUAGAAAAAAGUUUUCAAAUGAUGUAUUUACAAAAAAUUCACAUACACUUAAGACUAUGAUUUUGAGCUAUAGAUUUGUUCCACUGUAAUUUAAGGGUUUCUCUUCAAGUUCCCCAUACAUAUUAUAUAUAAUUUGCUAAACAACAGGAAGGGUUUUAAUUUGAUGUGACAUAUACAUAUAUAAUGCCUCAUUUAUAAUACAAAAAUAUUACAAACACGCAACACAAAAAUUAACAGUUUAGGCAAUAUUAAUUUUUGCAGAAUAAGUGCAGUUUAUGAAAAGUAAUUCAAAAUAAUUUCAGUUUAUUUUUGAUAGUUGCAGGUUACAAAAUACAAGGAGUAAAAGGAAAUUUCAAUGUAGAGCGAUUGUAGAUUUUCAUGUUUGUCUUGUAAGCCAUCACAGAAAACACAAUUGCCACAAAAACGCAUAUAUUUAUAUAAAGUCGAUAUCACAGGCUAUUUACCUGAGAGAAUUUUGACAUUAUGCAUAGUUGUCAACAUGUGAAAAUACGUUCCAUGGUCACUUUGAGGCACAGCCAGGGCCAGAUUAAGAGCCCAGUGGGCCUGGUGCUGACAAUUAUGAUGGGGCCUAAUUACAGAAAUGUCACGGCCCCCGGUUCGCCGCGAGGUGCGGUCGCACCGGACCAGUGCGACCGCGCCAACGAACUGAACUUACCUGCUCAGCAGCGAGUUGGGAGCCGCUCUGCCAGGUUCUCCCGGCUGCCUGCCCGGGUUCAAGAUGGUGCCGAACACACGGUCGCAGCUAGAUAUAGCUCUGCCCCCCAGGGUCACACACACACACGUUCUGCAGUCAGAGGGAUAUUUAACCUAGGUUAUUGCCCUGUCGUGGUUUUCGUUCCUGGUUCCUGAAUCCUGAGAGUGUGUUUCCUUGUCCUGUUUUUGAUAUUCCCAGUAUUUUGACCUUGGCUAUUCCUGACUAUUCUGAUUCCUGGCUUCCCUGACUUGGCUUGUUAAAUGGUAUUGUAUAUUUCUGGCUCCCUUGACCAUUCUCUGUUUUUAAAGUAUUAGUCCGGCCAUUCUAAGGACCGGUUUACGUUUUAUCAUUUUCUGUUCGGUUUAUGUAGAUGUUACAUAGUUCUGCGUGAUGGACCACACUAGCAGUCAUGACAAGAAUCUUAGUCAUACCUCUCAAGCGUCAAGUAUCUAAUGGAGAUGGUGUUGGAGGGAAACUCAAAGGAUGCAGCUUUAAGAAAACACACACUCUAUGCUAAUCUCUCUCUAAUUUAUGCUUUAAUCUUUCAAGUAAAUCCAUACCCCCUAACAGCAGUGUCCAGUGAAGCAGGAAGUCAAUGUGGACACUGGGAGAAAUGGGGACACAGACACUAGGGACACAGAGACACAGACACUGGAAGACAUGGGGACACUAAGACACUAGGGACACUGGCUGGGAGGCAUGGAGACACAGGCAUGGAGACACUUGGGGACACUGGGAGAUAUGUGGACAUUUGGGGACACUAGGAACACUGAGAGACAUGGGACACAGAUACUGGGAGACAUGGGGACACAGACACUAGAGACACUGGCUGGGAGACAUAGGGGCACUGGGAGACAUGGGGACACUGAGACACAAGGGGGACUGGCUGGGAGACAUGUGGACACUGGGAGACAUGGGGACACAGACAUUUGGGGACACUGGGAGACAUGUGGACACUGAGACACUAGGGACACUGAGAGACAUGGGGACAUAGACACUGGGAGACUAGGGGACACUGAGACAAUAGGGACACUGGCUUGGAGGCAUGGGGACACUGUGUCCCACGUGCCUCUGUGUCUCAGUGUGUCUCCCAAUGUCCCCAUGUGUCUCAGCAUCCCCAUAUCUCACAGUGUCCCCUAGUUUUUCAGUGUCCCCUAAUGUCUCAGUGUCCCCAUGUCUCCCUGCUGCCUUUCCCCCCCAUCCUUCAUUUACCUGAGCUGUAGGCUGUUUCUGUAGGCUGGGAGCUGCUGUCUGGCCUCUCUGUGCUGUGUAGCUGCUCCCCUGCGGAUCAGUGAGUAGAGAGAGGCAGGGAGUGAUAUGCUGUAACUUCCUAUCCCUGCCUCUUUCCACACACAGUGACCCCUACUGGUUAGUGCUGGUAUUGCAGAGUAAUCUCCGUUUAUACUGAGAAAAAUACCUGCAUUUGUAUUGCCGGUAUUACUGCAAUACCAGCACGGUCAGGCAGCCUCAAAUACCAGGUGUGCUGGUAAAACACCAGUCAGGUGGCAAACCUAACAGUAGUGUGUGUGUAAAAAAAAAAAAAAAUUUUUAAAUGGGCCUAUUCCAUGGGCCUGGGCCUGGAGCUGCAGCUCCAUCAGCCCGUAUGUUAAUCCGGCCCUGGGCACAGCUAUCAAUUAUGUACUUGAAAAUUUAACACACCCGCUGCCCAAAGCUCUGCCCACUCUGCACAACCCACAUAAUUAAUCUCCGCUUACUUAUCAUAGUGAUGAUUAUAGGAUCUACUCAAUAAAGAGAGAAUUACAGGGAAUUAAGAUGGGAAUUUGCAUUGUAUGUUUCUUUGUGUAAGCGAUGCAUUGUGUGUUUCUGUGUCUGUAUGCAAGGGAUGCAUUGUGUUUCUGUGUGUGUGUGGGUGGGGGAUGCAUUGUGUGUUUCUGUGUGUGUAAGGGAAGCAUGGUGUGUUUGUGUGUGUGUAGGGAUGCAAUGUAUGUUUCUGUGUGUCUGUGUGUGAGUAGGGAUGCAUUGUAUGUUUUUGUGUAUGUGUAAGGAUGCAUUGUGUAUAUGUGUGUGUAGUGUGAAAGAGAGAGUUUGUGGGGUAGGAUAGGACCUUGCAGGAGUCUUGCAGGGGGUGAGAGGGGAGCAGAUCUUUAUUUUUUAUUAUUAUAUUUAUUUUGUUAAUAUAAUUUUUGUAUGUGCCCCUUGUAUGUGCUCCUUGCUGGCCUGCUAUUGUUUUCAGGUGAUCAUGCUGGGGAUCCCCAUAUCUGUUUGGGUUGAUUAGACGAUUGUGCUUGUCCCAUUCUGAAUGUAAUAGAAAUGAGGCAUAGUUAUUACUCUGUAGGUAAUUGGGUUUUUUUUUAUGUUUACAUUUUUAUUUAGCUUUUCCAAAUUACAGAGAACAUUUCUUUCAGAAUUUUUUUAAAAUAAAUAAAUAAAUAAGAAAGAAAACAAUAUACAAAAAGAGAAGGAAAAAUACCAUACAAAAUAUUAUAUUGCCAUCUUUUACAUUAUACAUCCUCCGAUCUAUUCUGACUUAUUUUCAACUUCAGUAACACUUUCAUAGCCUUUUUAUAUCUUCCAAUCACCAGCACACCCUUAUUUUCAAUAAGCAUUUCUGUCUUAUCCCUUCUACACUUUAUACAUAUCCUAAUUCUUGUUGAAUUACAUUUUAUUCCCUCCUGCUCUAUCUAUAAAUUGAUCUGUCUGUUAUUUAUUUCAGUUUUCGUCCGAAUGUGUAAAAGUAAAAAUUAAUUGUAGUAAUUAUUUCUUUUAUGUAUCUACAUUUCCAAUUUAAUUUAAUUUAUGAAUUUCCCAAUCAAACGUCUAUAUCAAUCAGCUCUUGCUGCUUCAAUCUCAAUCACUUUGGAAGGCUUUUCUCAUUUGUUUUAUAUUGUCUCCUUUAAAUUAUAUUAGCCAUCUGUAUUUAUGAAGCUGUUUUGCUUUUUAAUUUCCCCUCAUUUGCUCUUAAUUCCUCUCAUUUCAUUUCCACCUCGCCCAGAUUUUAUCAUGGAUAUCUUGUUUGCCUUUAAGCCUAUAUGCCAUCUCCUCGUAGGUUUUAGAGAUAGAAAUCUUUUCCCUUAUCAUACUUAAUGAUGGCACCUGUUUUGUUUUCCAUAAACUGGCUAUAGCAUUUUUUGUAGCCAUUAAAAUAUGUACAAUCAGCACUUUUUCUUGUAACAGUAUUCUCUCUGGAAUAAUGUGUAGUAGGAAUAUUUCUGGUUGCAAGGGCAUCAGUGUGUUUGUAACUUUAAAAAUUAGUUGUUGAAUGUGUUUCAAUACAUCAAUAAUCUUCUUACAUUGCCAAAAUAUAUGUGUCACAGAUCCUUCCAUUUCCCCACAUCUCCAGCAAGUCCCCAUGUUCUCUGGAUAUAUUUGUGCCAAUUUUUGAGGUGUCAUGUAUAGUGAUGUCCCGAACGGUUCACCGAACGGUUCGCCACGGACGGCGAACAUAUGCUCUGUUCGGUCCGUCCCCUAUUCGUCAUCAUUGAGUAAACUUUGACCCUGUACCUCACAGUCAGCAGACACCUUCCAGCCAAUCAGCAGCAGACCCUCCCUCCCAGACCCUCCCACCUCCUGGACAGCUCACUAAGAAUGCUGCUUCACAAUGAAUGUAAAAUGGAUGCUGUCCAAGAGGUGGGAGGAUCUGGGAGGGAGGGUCUGCUGCUGAUUGGCUGGAAUGUGUCUGCUGACUGUGAUUUACAGGGUCAAAGUUUACUCAAUGAUGUCAAUAGGGGGCAGACCGAACAGCACAUAUGUUCGCCGUCCGUGGCGAACCGUUCGGCGAACCGUUCGGGAUAUCACUAGUCAUGCACCAACGUAGCCACAUUUUGUAUGUUGCUUCUAUGUGUUGUAUAUUAUAUGUGGCAAACUUAGUUGAUCUCUAGCCCUAUACCAUUGUAAGGGCUCCCACUCAUUAUUUAAUUUCUUCUCCCAAUUUAACAUAAAAAGCAGUUUCUCAGGUUUUUCUAGAUUUAAUAUUCCUCUGUAGCUUAUUGAGAGAGGCUUAACUUGGGGUUGUCUCCCCAAACAUUGCCUCCCAAAAUCAUUCACCCUAGAAUCUUCCACCUCUUUCACUUGAAGUUUCAUUAAAAUAUGUUUUGAUAUUGGAAGAGUACAAAUAUUCCGUCUGGAACAGACAUUUUAGAUCAAAUCAAUAAUCAAGGAGUUAUGGAAAAAAAUUUUUUUUUAACAACAGUAAUAUCUCCAAAUAUAAUAAAAUUUGCAAACGACGAGGAUCCCUGGGAUCCACACACUUAACACUACAGACCCUACACACACUACAUGCCGACCCAUACAUGGCUAUAUAGGUUUUGUUUACUAUUGCAUGCAGAAAUAGGCCACUGUCGAAAAUAACCAUGUUAUUACGCAAGUAGCACAUAAAACGCUACAAAAAUGCAAAAUAUUACUAAAGAUAGCCUCUGCGUAGGUGCAUUUACUACUGCCUUUGCUAAACGAGCAGAGCCUCUGCAUAGGCGAUGAUGCAGAAAAUGUUUGACCAUGUUAUAUGUGCGCUAAACAUAUGUUUACGAAAUAAAAACCAUUUAACACAAAUAUAAUAAAAUUUGGUCCAGAUGGUUUGAAUAUUAUAAUAGGUCUGACCGACCCUGAGUUAUCCAACUGGGCACGAAAGGUAAACUUAUAGUCGCGUCUGGUUUGCUUUAGAUUAACCUUAAUUAUUUAACACUACUAAACGAAAUGCUCCCCUCUCCACCACCGCAGCGCGCUUGGGCCCCUUCCCCUCCCCCCCCACUAGAUUGUAUGGGAGGUAUAUUAUACCCAUGUUGUGAUGCCUAUUUUGUACCUUUAUGUAUGUAAGAUUCUGUGUAACUUUUACGACAAUGCAAAGCAUAAUUAGAAUGAUAACUACAGUACCUCCAUUGCUACAGGAAUUGGAGGAACCGUAGUCACACAGUCUAUUCCCAUUAUAAGAGUGGAAAAUAACAAUUUGUACAUUGUCAUUAUUGUAUGUAGUUAUUUAUGUCAUGUAAGCAAACGUAUAAUGCAGAAAGAAAAUGUCUACCAAAGUAUGAUUCAUUACUGUUACAUGGAUACGUUUGAUUGUCAUGUCUUUUUAUAUGGAGAUACAAUAAAAGUUAUUUAUUUAAAAAAAAUAAAAAAUGUUUCACUCUGAGAUAUGUAUUUAAUUUGUAUGUUUGGGAAUUGAUGUAUAUCUGAGCCUGAUAUUAGAUGUCAGGUUUUUGUUAACCCUUUCUUUCUCCAUGUUGUUAUGUUUAAAUCUUUUGUAUAGUAAGUUAAACUUUGCAGAGUUCCAUAAUAAAAAUAAUUGCUUUUCCCCAGAAGUUUAGGGGCCCAGUAUCUCCACAACCUCAGAGAGAUUUGUGUUCUGGAUAGGAAAUUAUGAUUUCUAAGAUGAGCGCAAUGUGUUGUCCAACUGAGAUCCAAUAUCUCUUAUUGUGGAACAAUGCCAUAGAGGUAUACUAGAUGUAUCUAUUAGUGCUGCUGUUUGUGCCAGUAUGGAUGCUAUGUAAUAUUUUUGAAUACUCCCAUUCUACCCUCUGUCAUUUUGCAGCUCAUUGUAUCUAAUGAUAUCCUUGGGGGUUUUCGUUUCCAAAUAUGAGCAUUUAUUGUUGUCUGAAAGUUUGUUAUAAUUGAUUUAGGAAUCAUUAUGGAUCUAAAAAGAAAUAAGAUCUGUGGUACUAUGCACAUUUUAACAGAAUUAAGCCAUCCCACCCAUGAUCUGGUGCUCUUAUCCCAGCGUUUUAAUGUAUCUUGUACUUCUUGUAGUAGUUUGCUAUGGUUAUUUUUUUUUAUCAUUUCUCGUGGAUAGAAGUGCUUCAAAGUGUUACAUAGAAGGUUGCACGUGCUUUAAAGUGUUACAAAAUGCUUUGGAAUGUUGCAAAGUAUUGUAAAGCGCUGCAAAGUGCUUCAAACGUUUAGGAAUAAUUUAAAGUAAAUUAAAGUGAUUCAAAAGUGAUCCAAAACGCAGCUGCAGCAAUGACAAAGUGACAUAAAGGAUACAAAGGAUAAAAAUAAUCUAAAAGACCAAAAGCGAUUUGAAGCGAUGUGAAGAGAUUGAGUAGGGGAAAGGAGUGAACAGCAAAUUAAAAUUUACUAGAUUAAAACUACAUAUUAUGUUGAAGUAGUACAAUAUAUCACUGAACAAAAAGAAAGAGGGGAAAAAAGAGAAAAAGGGGAAGAUGUAACAUAUUCUUCCUCACCUUGCGGUCAGCGGCUGUGCAUCUGCUUGACUAACACUUGCGGCAUGUUAAUGGACGCCGGCCUCUGCUGAUCCGCGGCUAAUUGUACCCCCACGUCCGCUCAUGUGAUUGACGACGUUGACGUGCACGUUGGCGUGCACGUGACGUUACGCACGUGCUGCGCGCGUAUGUUUUAGGGUCAAGGAGCGAUCUCAGUCAAUUGAAAAGGUGAAGCAGGUAUUUAAACUUAAAAUUACCUUUCCUCAUUGCCCUGUUGCGGUUUCACUAGUGGUUGUCCAAGAGAGUGUUCCUGAUUCAAGUUUCUUCUGGUUUUUGACUUUGGCUUUGAUUUUGACUUCCCUGUAUUUCUGGUAUCCUUGACCUCUGGCUUUCCUUUAUCGCUGUGUUCCUAUCUGACCUCGGCUAGCAUCCUGACUAUGUUAGGUACGUUAGUCCGGCCAUUCUAAGGCAUGGUAAUACGUUACCUAUCAGUCCUCUGUGUGAUACAAUUCUAUGUGCUGGAUCAAUCCUGACAGAAGAGAAAAGGAAAAAAAAAAAAAAAAGAGAAGAAAGAAAGGAAAAGAACAAGAAAAGGAGAAGAAAGAGAAAGGAAAGGAAGAGAAAAGAAAGGCAAAUAAUAUAUAUAUAUAUAUAUAUAUAUAUAUAUAUAUUGUAAUAGUACCUCAACAUUGUAUCAACUUAGUACUGCAUAAAUUUAAUACAGUUUUUCAGCACCACCUACACGACCACCAGAUGGCGCCGUAGAACUCACAGAGACAACAUGAGUUCUUAAAACAAAUAAGAGAAACAGAGGAAGAACAGAGCAGGGUGCUGGAAGCACUGCGAGAUCUCCCUCAUAUCACUCUGAAGUGGGUGAAGGAUGUCUUUGAUCUGGGCACAAGGACAUCUGCCCUGGAAGAAAAAAUGGAUGAGCUUUGCGAGAACAACAAAAAAAAUUAGGAAAAAACUUAAAAUGGAAGCAAUCGAAAACUCCAGGGAAAUAUGGCAGAUAUAGAGGAUAGGUCUAGAUGCAACAAUAUCUUCGUUAGGGGUGUGCCCGAAACAGUCCAUAGGGCAGAUAUACCACCUUAUUUAGUCAAGCUGUUCAAGGCAAUAGUUCCCACUGUUACUACAGAAGACUUGCGGUUUGAUAGAUCACAUAGGGUGCCAAAGCCUAAAAUUUUAACUACAGAGGAUCCCAGAGAUAUUGUGAUGAGGCUACACUACUUAAGCACAAAAGAGAAGAUUUUAUCCACCCAAAGGAGGACUACAACAAUGCCGUCAGCAUACUCGCAUAUCUUAUUGUUUUUGGACUUAUCUGCUAUGACUAUGGCUAGAAGAAGAGAUUUCCUAAGAGUUACUAAACACUUAAGACAUAAUAAUGUGACCUACAGAUGGGGAUUUCCAACUUAAUUGCUGAUUUGAAGAAACGGAGUUAUGACGAAGAUAGAAGACCCUGAAGGACUACAAAUACUACAUAAAUGGGGUCGAACAGGGACUCCAUUAGAAACAGUGGACAGUUCGCAUGUGAGAAAAAUGCUACCAGAAUGGACGACAGUGCGUAAUGAUAAAUAGCUGGUCACAAGAAGUGGAAAUAGCACAUUCAUUUACGGUUGAACUGAAAAAUAUAUAAAGGAUUGAAGGCAAAACAUUUUAAAACUAGUGUCUGUUACAAACCAGGUCUUGGUGAACUACUGCAUACAAUGUAAAAUGGUGGCAAGGGAAGGCCUUCGAUGCUUGGAUGAUUAAAGGAAGGGUAGGAGUUUGAGAGACUCUAUUAUAUUAUACUUAAGGCGUUAGAUGCUUGGAUGAUUAAGGGGAGGGUAGGAGUUAGAGAUACUCCAUUAUUUUAUACUUAAUUUAUUUACCUUUCCAAAAGCUGGAGGGGAGAUGGGGGGAACCGGAAAAGGAGGAGAAAAGGGGAUGUAUAUAUAUUUUUCUUCUUCUUCUUCCUUUUCCUCUCUUCCUCCUCUGAUCCCUCUGACCCCACCCCAAAGAGAGGAAGAAAGAAGGGGAAAGAAUUUAAAAGAAAGGAAAGGAAAACUUUUGUAUAGAGAUAACUAUGCUACAGAUUUAAAAGCCAGGCAGAUGUAUAUAAUAUAUAAGCAGAAGAUGGCUUGUCUCCCGCAUUUUCAUUUUCAAUCACUCCCUCAAGUAGGUUAUACCCUAAGGGGUAAUCAACCACCAAUGUUUUAUGUUGGGCAGACCUGCAAGAUUAAGACGAUUUGUCUAACUUUUUUUUUUUUAAGUAUAUAUGUGUUUUUUGUUUGUUUUUUGGUUUUGGGUACUUACGAGUAUAUGAGAUUUUUUUAUAUCAGUAAUUUCUUAAUUAUGUAUGUAAACAAGAUAAAAACUAAACUACAAGAUCUCUUAUGACCAAACGGAGUAAACAUAAAGCCUAUAGAGUGUUAUAGAGUUAGGAACGAGGUCAAACAGUGAUAUAAUAUGGCUCACUACUUUAAUAUCCUAACAUUCAAUGUGAAUGGUCUUAAUACUCCCCAUUAAAGGAGAUUGUUGUUCCAGCAACUGCGCAAAUCACAGGUGGUGGUUGCGUGCUUGCAGGAAACACACUUUUGUGCUCAGAGACUCCCAGUUCUCACCUCGCCUAGAUACCCGAUCAGCUACCAUGCCUAUGCCAAAAAUAAAACAAAGGGAGUGAGUAUGUUAUUUCAUGUAGCCAUUUAAAUGCGAUAGAGAAUAUAAAGAUAAGGAAGAUAGAUUACUCAUUUUGGUGGGUUCCUUAGGUGAGGAAAAAGUAACAAUAGCAAACAUAUAGCCACCAAAUUGUAACCAAAUAAGCUUUUUACAGAAAGUGAUAAAAUGCAUUGAGAAAUAUAAACAAGGCAAACUAUAUAUUUGCGGUCAAUAAAUAGUAGUAGAGAAAUAAAACCUACGCGUACCAGGAGAUCUCUUACCAGUUAGUGCAAAUGGAGAGACUACAAAUGUCUCAACUGAUAUAUAUAAUUGCAAGGUAUAAUCAUGGGACUUUUAUUUCAAAUCUGAUUUGUAUGUGUGUUUCAAUUUCAAUUUUAAUUUCAUUUAUAAUAAAUAUGGAAUUUUAUUUAAAAUCCCUUGGACUUUUUUAAAAUCAUCACUGAUCUUUCAAGAUCCUAUUACUAUAUACCUGCAUUGGUGGUAUAAUAGUAACGGCUAGUUUGUUGCUACCAUCUAUCAUCUUUACCAGUAUUGGUCAAAUUAUAUUGAAACCUGAUAUUUAUUUGCUACUGUUAUUCCAUUUAGCAGAAGCAUAUGAUACAGGUUGUGACACUGUUACUUUUAAGGACUUUGCACACUACAAGCAAUUACUGGAUUUCAUCACUUAUUCAUUGAAUUUGGACCUCAUUUGGACUACUUAGCAGUUUUGAAAGACCUCUUCUGUUUUGUUUUACACAUAUACUCUUGGUAGAAAACCUUAAGAGUUUUUUACAAUAUUGUUUUAUUCUGUAUACUUUCACUGUUUAGUAGAAGAGCUUGUUUACACUGCCGUCCCUCUUUGUUAGGCUGCCAUCUAGUGUAUGCAUAUUUAUUUUAAACAGCCUUCAAUUGAUUUUAAGGUCUGUUAACAUCAGCGAUUCACGUUUAUGAUAUUAUACCUUGCAAUUAUAUAUAUCAGUUGAGACAUUUGUAGUCUCUCCAUUUGCACUAACUGGUAAGAUUUUUCUUUUUUAGCUUUUAUGGGGGCUUUUCUUUACCAGUAGAGAUCUCCUGUUUGUUUUACAUCUCUUUUCCUGUCCAUCUGUCUCCACUCCCCAGGGCUAGUUUGUUCUGCCCACUAUACACAUUCUUAUUUAUUUGCGGCGACUAUAACUGCAUGCUGGACCCAAAGGUUGAUGUUUCAGGAUAUGAGAUACAAUCUGUUGGUAACUGUUAGUAUCUCGUUGGGAUAUGACCUGUAACUCUAGUGCCUGGGCGAUAAUUGGGUUAAGCAACUGUUUCUUUUUCUUCUUGAAAGCUAAUGAUCAUUACCAUAUCAAAGGACUUCCUGUCUGAGAGGCAAGCAAGACAUAGGGCAGAUGUGAGAAGUGGUUUGUGCAGAGCCCAUACUUCCAGGCCACUUAUGUGUGACUUCUCACACCUUACAGAAUAGCCCUAUGUGAGUUCCAGCUUCAAAGAGGAACUUGGGCUGCAAGCUCAGACCUUCCAGGCAAUCAAUUAACCCCUUUUAAAAUGUUGAAAUGUGUUUGCAGGGUGUUGGGAACUAUUAUAGAUGUUUCUGUACCUGAGGGAUAUUUAAAUUAAAGAGGCUUCCUCACGCAACUAUCCCUCAGGCACAGAGGAUCUUGGGAGAAAAGACCCUGCAUGUUUGUGUUGGAAACCCCUUGUAGGGGACUUUUGCAUACGAAGGCCUUGUGUGGCCCUGAAUAAAGACAUUUCUGUUGUACCCUUCAUCAAGUCUUGGCUGAUGUUUGGGUAACCAAGGGUGUGUCUCUUUGUAUGUUUCACCCUCACAACCUCUUUGCUUGUCUUACUUCCCCCAGCCCAUUCGUUUCUUUUACUCUUCCCAGUUCCUUUGUCAGUGUCUCUUUCACCCCCAGGCCCCUCUGUGUGUUCCCCCCCCCGCCCCCCCGAGUCCCUAUGUGUGUCUCUUUCUCCCCUACCAAACCCUUUGUUCUUCUCUUUCGUUCCUUCUUCAUCUCUCUGUGUGUCUCUUCCACUCCCCCCGUCCCUUAAUGAUCUCUUUCACUCCCAUCUGUCCCUUACUGAUCUCCUCUUCCCUCCUGUCCCUUAGUGUACACCUCCUCUUCCUUACAGCUUUACAGACCACAUUAACAUGCACAGCAUAUUUAUCUCCUGGGAAUCAAACUCCUUUAUCGCCCUCUCAUAUGCCUGUCAUGGCUGAACCUUCUCCAUUUUAUGCUCCUUCCACCCAUAUUUCACCUCCUCCUAGAUAUGCAUUUCCUUAUCCAAGUGGAAAAUUAUUUCAAAACAUAUCCUAGAUCCUUUCCUACUGAUCAUUUGAAGGAUGGGUUCAUAAGGGAUUGUCUUACUGGUAAAGCAUUGGCAUGGAUCAAUCCACUGUGGGAAAAGAAUAAGCCUGUAAUAUUCAAAAACUCUGAGUUUGUAUCCACUUUCCAUAAAGUGUUUGAGACACCGGCAGAGCUAGCAGUGUGGGCAAUUAUGCUAUACAAUUUCAGGCUUUUGAGGUAGAUAAGGUAUAACAGUGGUUUUAGUUACUUCUUUUCUGGAGGGACUUAUUUAUUCCCUACAAGAUGAGGUUGCUGUCAGGGAGCUUCAAAAAGAUCUCAAUGUAUCUUAUAUGUUUUAAGGCCAUAGGCCUGUAUUUGUGGGAGGAGUUCAAAUCUAUUGUUGACCUAUAAAAAACCCAAUCACCCUCUUACCUGGGCCGUGCCCGUUCAGGUGAUACAUUACCUUGGUUACCACAAACAUUUCCUGAAUACACCUUGUUCCAGCAUCCUACUACUUGUCUACACAAAAUCGACUGCUGUCCGUAUCGAUAGCUGCCUCCAUCUGCUUCAGAGCCUCGCUGCCAGUCGUUUCCUGUAUCCAAUCUCGUCUUUUUUUGCAGGUAACACAAGGUGUUCUUUCGUGUGCCUGCUGCUGGAGCUUCCCCCGGUUUUCCUCUGUUCAUGAACGGUGUUCGGCUCCUUUUGGAGUUUUCGUGCCUUACUGGCAUUUCGCAGGUUUCGUAUGUUUUCGUUUGUUUUCCCGUCGUUCGUAUAAGUGAACGUUCACUUAGUCAUUUCACUUUCUAUGGGUUCUAACUGUUCGGCGCUUUGCCUCUUGCAUUCGUAUACUUAAGCCCUGAAGUCUGCAUUUGCAUAAAUUACAAUUAUGUUUUUGUUCGGUUAUUUGUUUAGUUUGUCCUUGACGUUCGAGUUCUUGAGCUCUGGUCAAGGGGGACUUUAGACUGUUCGUGUGUUUGUAUUUACCAUUUGGUAUGUUCCUCCUGAACUGUCAAGCAUUGCUCAGUUCGGGAGAAAAUCCUAGUUUUUCAGGUAAUUGUGAAGUAUGAUGAUUUUGGUACUUUUGUGCAAUAGAUGUUGAAUCGGUUCUUUGCUAUGGAACAAAUUAUUUUGUUAGGUUAUUUUGAUAUUUACUUUGCAUAGUUCAUAAGUCUUGUUCACUUAAUUUUGGGAAAUAAGUUCAUAUGAGGCGAAUUCAAUUCACUCUAUUUUUAGGGGCUUAUCUAUUAUAUGGGUUUCCUGACUGGUCUAUACAUUUGCAUGUUAUACAACAGUUUUGUUACGUUCUUUGUUAUUGGAUACCGUAUAUUAUGCUAUGGGGGGGUCAACAUUAGUGUAUCGUAUAAUAUGUUUUUACAGUAUUUUCUUUACAAACUGUUCACUGUUAAAUUUUGUCCAUGUGUAAAUCAGGUCAGGCAGACAUUUUUUUUUUAAAUAAACCUUGCAUACAUGCACAUCUGGCCUUCUAGGUCUGGAAUUUUGAAUUAUAUGUAUAGUUGUAUUGAUGUGCAAUAAUCUCUCAUAGGCAUCAUAAGCCAGACCCUUCGUGGUCUUCCCAGCAGUUGUCGCAAGCAUUUAUGUCCAUACUGUUUACUUUAUGGUAUUUAUUGUUACGUUAUUUUCAAUUUAAUGCCUUUACACACUGAAGGUAUCACUCUGAAUUAUUUCUCAUGUUGGGUCACGGAUUUUUCUGACAUUUACGCAUCUUAUACGCCCAUCAUUCCUUGGGGUUGGGUGAGGUUUUCCUCUUUUACUUUGACCCUCGUAUGGUCCGCGAUAAACAUAAGUUAACAAUCAAAUGCACACUUAUGUCUAUAUACCAUAGGACCUGCGAGUAGAAAAUAUGUCUGCUACCUACUAUAUACCGCGACCUGCGAGUCGCCGAUGCAUACCUAUAAGAACACUCUCCCAAUGGGACUAUUGAAACAAGAUAUCAAAGGGAUCUGCGUGUCCAAACUGCUGUUCUCUUACGUGAAAUGAUAAAAAAAACACUCAGUAAAGUUCUAUUUACAAAAACAAAAAUCCCAAUAUGGAAGAAAUAAGAGCACAGAUUAAUUACCAAGGGGUAAUGGAAAAAGCAGUAUAUUAUAAUGGUACUAUAACAAAAUAUAAUAAUAUCUCGGAUGUUUGGUUUACAUAUUUUAAAGAGUGAAUUCUGUCCUCAUAAUACAUAUUACCUGUCAUUGAUAUGUCUAUUGUACCUUUCGUAUAAUGUAUUAUUUAUCAUGUACGUUUUAUACUUUAUGUAUCGGUUUCUUUUUUUGUUUAAUAAAGGCUUUCAAUUGAAACAAUCAAAUGCUUAUAAGUUAUGGUUUCUGUUUUUAUAAUCCCUUGGUGGCAUUUUAAUUAAAGGUAAAAAAUAUGUAUAUUUUAGAAUCAUUGGUAUACUUUUCAGCUAUUAGAGGACAUGGUGUAUUCAUCUAUUCCUCAUGUACUUUUAGUUCUCUCAGUGAUACUUUAAUGUUACCCCCUUUUUUUGGUUUUUAUUAUACUCAUAGGUAUACGUAUUACUUUUAAUCAUAGAUCUCUAUAAAAAGUCCUGUUUCUUUGGAGAUGUAAUCUACUGACCACAUUUUGAUAUGUGGAUUAUUUUCUCUAUUUUUUCUCUCUUUUUAUACCACUACUUACUUCCCCCAGUAAUUUCUGUAUUUACUCCUAAACGUGUAUUCUUUUCCUGUAUUUUUACUUUUCUGUCAUAGACUACACUUUUACUUAGUAAGGUACGUGCCUUCUCCUCUCACAUUAGUCCUUGCUUUUGUCAAGCCCACGUCCAGCGAUAGAGAACUGGCUUAUAGGUUCAGGUGCUGCCUUUAAUGUUGUGCAUGUUAAACUCACAAACCAGUGAGGCCACACUCCCUACCUCACUGCUGAAGUUUACCCACGGCCAUACGUCAUAUACUCUUCUUUAAUAUGGUGUGGUGUUUUUAUGUAGUGUUGACAUUUGGAUGCAGAGUUGUAUUUGUGUGUAGUGUAGGCGAAAUGCUGAGAUUUAUGCAUAUAUACACAUAUACUCAUAUAUACACACACUGGCACACAUACACAGACACAUAGGUACACACAUGCAGUUACAUAGAAACACAGCCAUACACAGAUACAGACAAACACUGACACACACACAUACAGACACACAGAGAGACACACACAGGCACAGACACACAUACAGAUAGAGACACACACAUACAGACACACAAACAGAUACACAGACACACAAACAGAUACACAUACACACACUGACACAUACAGAUACAUAUAUACCAACACACAUACAGAUACACAGACAUAGAGAUACACAAACAUACAUGUAUAAGUGUGUGUCUGUGUGUGGGUGUUUGUAUAGUGUAGUAGUGAGGGGGGUGAUGGUGAGAGGGAGAGAGCAGUGAUGGUGAGAGGGACAGGGCAGUGAUGGUGAGAGGGAGAGGGAGAGGGCGGUGAUGGUGAGAGGGUGGUGAUGGUGAGAGGGAGGGGGUGAUGGUGAGAGGAAGGGGGUGAUGGUGUGAGGGAGGGGGUGAUUGUGGGAGAGGGUGGGGGAUGAUGAGAGGGAGGGGGUGAUGGUGAGAGGAGGGGUGAUGGUGAGAGGGAGGGGUGAUGGUGAGAUAGGGGAGAGGGGGUGAUGGGAGAGGAAGAGGGGGUGAUGUAAGGGAGGGGUGAUGAGAGGGGUGAUGUGAGAGGGGGGUGAUGGUGUGAGGGGGUGGUGGUGUGAGGAAGGGGGUGAUGUGAGGGUUGGUGAUGGUGGGAGGAGGGGUGAUGAUGAGAGGAAGGGGGGUGAUGUGAGAGGGAGAGGGGGGUGAUGUGAAGGGGUGAUGGUGUGAGGGAUGGGGAAGGGGGGGACUAAAUACCUUAAUUCCCUGGUGGUCCAGUGGGCUCCCUGGUGGUCCGGUGGCCAUAAUAUCCGGUGAAUGAAUCUCGUGAGAUCCAGUCAGUGCAAUACUGUGGUAAACCGUGGCAACACUCUGAUUGAUCAGAUCUCGCAAGACACAUGGUCUGCACACUGCGGAGCUGCAGACCGGUGUCUGCGUUGGGCGCAGGAGGUGCAUUGCACCCUGCGGCAUAUGGAGCAAGCCGCCAGGCCCCCUCCUGGUGUCGGGUACUCGGUCAGUGACCCAGGACCCAACGCAGUCUGCCCAGGGCACCCCCCUAGUGAGUGGCACCCAGGGCGGACGGCCCCCUCCAGGUAAGCCACUGAGUGCAUGUCGGUUGUUGCACAUCUGUUCAAUAUGCUUUAGGGCCCACUCAAAAUCUAUGUGCCCAGACCUGCCAUGCAUUGGGAAAACAAGUGCCUAGCCACAACCAUGGAGGAUGUAGUUCAGCUUAUGUUGUUGGAGUAAUUUUAUGCAGCCUUCUCUGCAGAGCUCCCGGAAUGGGUAAGAUAUCGACGUCUCCUUACACUUCCAGAGGAAGCUUGUCUGGCAGAUGAAUAUGCUGAUGCCAGGUGGCUGGACCAACAGACGCAACGGGCACCCCAACACCAUCAAGCCCCGCAGCGACCUCCACCAUAACUGAUACCAAGAUUGAUACCAGCCCCAGUGAACACCACCAAUCAGAAUGGAAACUGUUGUUUCUAUUGAAAACAGAUUAGACAUAUCCAAAGGGACUGCCCCAUGGCCAACACAAGAGCGAGUUCCACAGCACCUCGAGCUGCUGCUCUAUGCGUGGAUUACAAUAUUACUCUGACCCCAGAAAGAGAGGGAUUUAAUACCAUGGCAUCCUAGGGUACCCUCUAGAAGGUCACGUACAGGCGGCAUCCACAGAUAAUCACCAGCAUCACUACCAACUGGUGCUGGUAAACUUGCAAGAGUGCACCGGGACACAGGUGCAAUUCUAACCAAAUACACUUGGUUGGUGGUACAGAAAACCCAGGGAAGUCAGUAGCCAUUCGGGUGGCUGGGGGAGCCAUACACUGGCAACCUACUGCGCAAAGCCACCUAGACUGGGGAGCCAGAUCCGGCACCGUAGAUGUUGGCAUCAUGAGGGACCUGCCAGCAGGUAGUAUUGUUGGGAUAUCCAGCAAUAUUGCCAGACGUGUGAUACCUGCCAGAGAGCUGGGAAGAAUAUAGACCAUCCCUGGGCCAAGUUGCAUUUGAUGCCCAAAGUAGAAGAGCCAUUUACUAGGGUGGCUGUAGAUAUAGUAGAACCAUUAUCUAAGCCUAUUCCCUCUGUUAAGAAAUAGAUCUUAACAUAGUGGAAUACGCUACCCAAUAUUGAGAAGCGGUGGUAUUAACAAAUAUUCAAGCAGAAACUGUAGCAGAUGCACUGGUAUGAAUCUUCUCUAUAGUGGGAUUUGCCCAGGAGAUAGUCUCAGGUCAUGGCACCCAAAUCGCUGCUGAAGUCACGCACCAACUCUGGAGGCUAUGGGGGACCACUGCAUAACUCCCACUAUCAUCCCCAGACCAACGGUCUCUGCAAGUGGUUUAAUAGAACGCUGAAGCAGAUGCUUCAGAUGUUCACUACUGCUUGUAGGGACUGGGAGAGAUUCCUACCCUACCUCCUCUUUGCAUACUUGAAGUUUCUGCAUGAAUCCACAGGGUUCUACCCUUUUAAGCUCUCAAUCUCAUACUAGGAAGGAGAAACCAAGGUAGAAGGUAUCCCGAUCAUGCCAUACAUGCUGGAGUUGAGGGACCACAUGGAGAAGCUUACCCAGACUGUCCAAAAGAACCUCCAAGCAGGGCCAGCGCAUCCUAUAAGUGACUUAGGCACCGGCCCAGGGGGCACAAGAUUUGAGUGAGCCGGCAGGAGGGAAGCGCACAUCGCUCCCUCCUACCUGUCACUCAGUGUAGUGUGGCCGGGCAUCGGACCGCUGUACAGAAGCAUCUGUUUCCAGUACCCGGCCGGACUGACAGGAAGUCACAGGAAGCACUUCCUGUCAGUCCAGCCACAGGAAAUAAAAGCUCCUGUAACGUGGUUUGCCGCCCGCGCCACCCAGCCACGCUAAAAAGAUAUGUAGGGGGCACGGGGGAGAGAACCACUGAGGGGGGAGGGAGAUAACCACCAAGAAGGUGGAGGUAGCACCACUAAGAGGGAGGAGGGGGUAGAGGUACAACCACUAAAGGGGAGGGGGGAAAUGUGAGACAGGACUACUAAAGGAGAGGGGGUGAGAGAGUGACAGGACCACUAAAGGGGAGGGGGUGAGAGAGACAGAACCACUAAAGGGGAUCGAGGGAGAGAGACAGGGCCACUAAAUGGGAGGGGGUGAGAGAGACAGGACCACUAAGAGGGGAGGAGAGGGAGGACUACUAAGGGGGAGAGAGAACCACUAAGGGGGGGAGACCACUAAGGAACAGGGAGGGGAGAGGAACACUAAGGGAGGGGAGGAGAGAGCACUAAGGGACAGGAGAAAUUACUAAUGGACAGGAGGGGAUAGAACCACUGAGGGGGGAAGGAGAUGACCACCAAGAAAGUAGGCAGGUAGCAUUAAGAGGAAGGAGGGGGGAGAGGUAGGACCACUAAAGGGGAGGGGAGAGAGACAGGACUACUAAAGAAGAGGGGGUGAGAGAGCCAGGACCACAAAAGGGGAGGUGCGGGUGAGAGAGACAGGGCCACCAACGGGGUGGGGAGAGAGACAGGACCACUAAAGGGGAGGGGUUGAGAGAGAGAGACAGGACCACCAAAGGGGAGGGGGUGAGAGAGACAGGACCACUAAAGGGGAGAGGGGGAGAGACACAGGACCACUAAUGGGGAGGGGGGGUGAGAGAGACAGAACCACUAAAGGGGAGUGAGGGUGAGAUAGACAGGACCACUAAAGGGGAGGGGGGAGUGAGACAGGACCACAAAAGGGGAGCGGGGGAGUGAGACAGAACCACUAAAGGGGAGGGGGGAAAUGGACAGGGCCACUAAGAGGGGGGGAGACACAGGGAGGGGAGAGGAACACUAAUGGAGGGGGGAAAGAGCACUUAGGGACAGGGGAGAUCACUAAGGGACAGUAGAGGAGACCACUAAGAGACAAGGGGAGGAGAGGAGAUGAGACCACUAAGGGAAGGGGGGAGUGAAAGAGAUCAUUAAGGGAUGGGGGGAGUGUAAGACAAACAGAGAGGCUGUGGAAGGGGUGAAAGUGAAGCAUAGAGGGGCUGGUAGGGGAGACAGACACUCAGAGGGGCUCAGGAGAGAGAAGCACAGAGUCACUUGUGAGGGAGACACACAGAGAAGCCUGGGGGGAAAAGAGACACACAAAGGAGCUGGAAAGAGUAAGACACAAAGGGGCUUGGGGGAGUAAGACAUACAAAGGGGGGGGGGUAAGAGGCACACAAGGGGCUUGUCAGAGUUAAACUAAAGGGAGGUGUAAGACACAAAACUUAAAGAAAAGAAUAUACAAAAAAAGUAUAUUAACAAAAUAAAUAUAAUAAUAACAAUAAAGAGCUGCUCCCCUCUCAGCCCAUACCCUACCCCACAAACCCUCUCUUUCACACUACACACAUAAACUUGGUAUCCUUACACAUACACACACAUGCAUAGAAACAUACAAUGCAUCCCUACUCACACACAGACACACUGAAACAUACAACGCAUCUUACACUCACACAGACACACUGAAACAUACAAUGCAUCCUACACUCACACAGAAACACACAACACAUCCAUUGCGCACACAUACAAACACAAUGCAUCCCUUACAUACAAAAACACACAAUGCAUCCCUUACACACACACACACACACAAAAAUGCAUAUCUUACACACACUCAAUGCACCCCUUACAGACACAUACACUGCAUUACAUUACAUACACAGAAACACACCUUGCAUUCCUUACACAUACAAACACCGAUUCACUAAAUGCAUCCCUUACACACACACCCAGAAACACAAAAUGUAUUCCUUACACACAAACACACACUGCAGCCCCUAAUCCCCUAUACACACACACUACAUCCCUUACGCAUCCCUUGGUAUCCCUAUACACUACAUUCCAUAAGAACACACACGCAUUACAUCCUCACAAUUUCACCAUACACUACUGGCCCAGGAAGCAGAACAGGAAUACCGAUGGGUUGUCCCGGCAAACCGAGCGUGUAGCCCAGGACUGUUAAUGUUUGGGAACUUGCCAUAGAAGAAAAAGGAAAAUAACACAGCUCUGGUAUGUUUAUUUGUUUUUGUUUUUUUGUUAUUAAUAUUUAAAUCUAAGCUCUGGCAAGUAUGGUCAGUGGAGUCUGUUAGAUGCUGGCUUGAGAGCACUAAGGGAUUCAGAAACUUAUUCAGAUUCUUAUAUUUUAUGGUGCAUCCAGAGAGGCCAGGGGGAAUUUCCCCUCUGCCCAAUCUGCCACUCUAAUACAAAUAAUUCUUGACAGAUAAUUUAAAGAUGAAACUCCUUUGAUAUGUUGUUUCAGGGAAAGAAUAAACUUUCUGGAACUACUAGGAGUAAAUAUUUUGCUUUGUAAUAGCCUAGGUGAUCUAAACUGUGAAUAAAGUACACAAUGGGGGAUGGAGUGAAGAGUUAAUGCCAGCAAAAGAUGUAUAAUGUAGUCCUUGUCUAAGAAGGAGAAUACAGAUUCUCAUUCUUUGACAUGCUGCUGUUUAAUCCAGAUUUUUACAGGGGAGUCAGUGGGGCUAUGACUUCACUGUCAUAACCCCUCAUGACAUCCAGUCUUCAAUCUCCCUCCAGUGUCACUCACCCACCUCUCUCCACUCUUGAGCAGCAGGCAGCAGCUAAGCAGAAAUUAAAGGAAGAGCAGUUAAAAAAAGCACAUGGAGACAUACAGUCAGCAAAUGAGGAACCGUAGUUUGCUUCAGUGCAAUCCAGCCAUGUUAAAGGUAAGAAGAAGUGGCAAUGACCUUAUUCUGUUAAAUAUUUUUUUUUUUUUUUUUUUAAAUUCUUUAUUUAGUCGUGCGACAAUAGAACAAUUUUACCUAUUCUGCCACAACAGCAGAAGUAGGUUAUGAACAAGCAUACAAUUGCGAGGCAUAGGUAAGUAUCAACGAUUAGACAGCACUUUUUGUAAUAUAUCAACUGCAUUUGAUAGGACAUGUCGGUGAUGAGGUGAGUGCUUUUCGGGUGCAACAGGGCAUGUCAGUGCUCACGGGGUGAAUCAAAGCUUGUAAUUGCGGGUCUGAGACUAGGUGUUGAGCUAAGAAGGUUUUUGUCGUAUGUCCAUUGUGUCACUAUCUCAGGUCCCUGCUCCUAACAAACAAUACUCUAUACGAUCUGCAACUAGGUGUGUCGCUGUUAGGGGUGGUGUCUGUGUAUGGUUAUGUGACAGGAGGGUCAGGAGUGUAUUUACAUUCCCUUUGGCUUCACUCUUGUGUCUGCGUGUUUCACUAGAUCGUUUAUGUACCGUUUUGCUAUUUGUGCCCCUAACCAAGGGGGCGGCGGGGGGGAGGGAGGGGGGUUGGUAGAGCAUCUCUUAAUGCUGUCUGAGGUGGGUCUGGGUGCCCUUAAGGGGGGUCCCCGUUGUUAAAGGAGUAUAGGUAGAAGACCCUGUCAUACAGGUUGGGGAUGGUAAGUGUUCUGGGGUAUUCAACCUAUAUACAGAUAAACCAACAUUCGCAUUGCUAUUAUCUGGGUCUUUUUGUAGUGUCCUUGGUAUUGUUUCUUCUCGCCGUGAUUGGGUGGGCAAGCGGUGCUUCAAGCCAAGGGAGUGCCAUUUUCUAGGUCCCUCUGGCCCUCUGAUGUGUCUACAGUUGUCAGUCCCAGCGUUUCAAGAAAAGAUGAGGCUUCCGCAAGCGAGGUGAGUGUGAGGGUAGUCCCAUUGUGUGUAGUUAAGAGUGAGCCCGGCGCUCCCCACCUGUAGGUGAUAUUGGCGGUACGUAGUUGUUGGGUCACUGGAUGAAGUGAUCGGCGCCACUGUAAGGUGGCCCUCGUCAAGUCCUGAUAGAAGGUGAGACUAGAGUCUUCAAACAUUAGUGGGGUCAUUCUGUUAAAUAUUUUAAGAGGAAAUUAGAUGUAGGGUGGGUUUGUGAAGAGUUAAAGUAAGUUGGAGGGUGUCUAGGAUUGAUAGGUACUGUGGAGAAAUAAUAUUAAGGGAGGCUGGAAUGCAUUGUAGAGUACCCAACCUUCCUCAAAUGUAUGCACUAAAGUAGCAAACAAUGUACCAACUAAUUAUUCACACUACCCCUGCCCACUCCAUAUUCCUUCCCCACAUUGCCUCCCAUCCAUCACACUCUCUAUCCCUUCCCAACACUGCCUCCGAUCCGCUAUCAUUUCCAACACUGAAUCUCCCACCAACCCUACCCUCUAACCAAUUCCCACAUUGCAGCCCUACCCUCUAUCCCAUUCCUACAUUGCAACCAAUUGCCUCCCUAAACCCUCACGUCUAUUUCCCACAUUGCCUCCCAUUCUCCACAUCCCCUAUUCCAUUCCCUAUACAAUAUUUCCAUAAUCCCUCCCCUUAUCUCAUUGUACACAGUGUCUCUCACAGUCUAUCCCUUUGCUUUCAAUGCCUCUAUCCCAUCCCACUUCCCACAUUGUCUCACACACCUGUCAUCUCAUUCCUAUGGUAAUUAUGGUAUUACACAUAGUGCCCCCCAUCUACUUACCAUCUUAUUCACUAUUUGUUUACUUGUCAGCUCAUUUACUGUGCUUCUUUCUCACAACUCCCCUACUUAAAUCUUUCUUAAACAAACUGACAAAACUUAUGUGUGUUUCCCUUCUAUCCAACUCCUUGUGAGCAUCUCUUUAUACCUAUCUUACAAUGACUCGUUCUGUGCAGUAAAUUUGCUGUGCUGGUGCUGUGUGAGAAAAGAGAGAGGCAUGAUUUGACAUUGAUCCUGUAUCCAUCACCUUAAAACAUAACACUUUUGUUAUGUAUUAAGACUAGAGUUGCGCGAACAUUAAGUUUUUUGGACCCCGGACCCGAACACAGACAUAUCACUGUAUGUUCUGGUUGGAGUUCGGUGUUCCGUGAUUUAAUGAUGCGUUUUGAAAGGCUGCAGGGCAGCAAAUCAACAAGCGUUUGACUCGUGUGCCCUAGAAGCAAUCACAGCCAUGCUUACUAAUGGCAUGGAUGUGAUUGGCCAGUGCAGCAUGUGACCCAGCUAGUUCCCGUUACAUAAUCCACCAGAGUGCUCUGUGUUAUUUUACACAGCGUGGGAAAAUUCCAAUAAACUUUCCCACGCUGUAUAAAAUGACACAGAGCACUCUGAUUGGUGGAUUCCAAGCCAACCAAUCAGAGUGCUGUGACAGGUAAAUGUAGAGACUUACCUGUCAGCCUCUUCACUUACCUGUCAGAGCACUCUGAUUGGAUGGCUUAAACCCACCAAUCAGAGUGCUCUGAGCCUAAUUGCAGGGCGAGGCAAGGCUUUAUAAGAUGGAUUUAUUUUUAUUUGCGCUCUUUUUUUUUUUUUUAAAUUGCGUCGGUUAUUAUGGAUUUAUAUUUGGCCUUUUUUGGGGCUGAAAAAAGAUUUUAGAAGAAAGAAGACAUCAAAUGGUAAGUCUAUACAUUUUUUUUAACAGGUAUUUAGAUAAGGGUCCUCCCUCAUUAUUUUUAGGAUGAGGGGGGUAGGUAAGGGUAAAUUUUUUGGGGGGAGGAGGUUGACUAGGGAUUUGGGGACCCCUAGUCACCUGGGGGGUAAAAAAUGUUUUGGGGUCCCCACCCGCCGCUCAGGGUGUUUAGGGCCCCCAUCCCCAAAGGCUGCUCACGGUUUACUAGACACGCCCCUACUCGCGUUAUAGUGAGAAGGGGCAGAAUUUACUAAUACUAAGUAAUCUUUACUUAGUAUUAGUAAAUUUGGCUGAAAGACCAAUUUAGGUCUUUCAGCCUUUUAGUAGAUAGCUCUCUAAUACCGUGGGAAUUAGGGAGUUAUCUACUAAGCGGCUGCUUAUUUUAUGUAUUUUAUGUUAUUUUAAGUGAUUCCCUAUCCACAUUUGUUUGCAGGUCACUUGUCCUACUCUUACCCCCAUCUUACUUCCUUUUGCAGCCAUCUAGCCCUUUCCAGAAGUUUUUUAGAGCCAUUUUUGUGCCCAAAAGUUCGGGUCCCUAUUGACUUCAAUGGAGUUCAGGUUCGGGGUCAAGUUCGGGGUCAAGUUCGAGCCCGAACCCGGACUUUUUUUCAAAGUGCGGCCGUACCCGAACAUCCAGGUGUCCGCUCAACUCUAAUUAAGACUAAUGAAAAGGCAAGGUGUGGCAUUGUUCAGGUACAUCGUUUCCUAGGGUUAAAUUGCUCUCAGUUUUGAUACCAUAGCAAUCCCAAAAUUCAUAUUACUCGCACAUAGUAUUUGCAAAAGUAGGCUAUUUUACACUAUUUUCAGUCUUUUCAUGAAUCUACUUCACAAACUACUCUAACUGCACACCCUUUGUAUUUAGCUACAUUCAUAUGUAUACCAGUAUAUCCCAUGUUUAGAUUUAAACAGUAUCUCACAGCCAGGCUGUUAGUGAAGUUAAAGGUUAUAUUAGACAAUAGAGACAGGAGAGCAGAUUAAAACUUUGAUACAGUGUCAAUGGCAUCAUGGCUUUUGCCUCAGCAGAAAUAAAUCUUCACAUUAAAAUUGAACUUCUUAAAUUAAAAUGAAAUAACGUUGUUCCUGACUCCAAUUAAGCAUUGGUAUUGAAAGUUUUCUUUAUUUUAACGGUUUUGCUUGAGUAUUUUUUAAAUUCUUUCACAGUCCACAAUUCAUUAUAGACCUCAGUAACGCCACCAUAAAAAGUGUUUGAUUUCAGACAAAACUAAUUUCUUGUUAAUAAAGAAAUCUUAAUAGGCUGAGAUUGUGAUAUUAUCGAUGGACACAUUUGGUUAAGCAUGAUUUUCACGAAUUUGCAGACUUUGCAAUUGCAUCACAGUUUGAAGGUUAUCGUAAAACAAUACAGUAAGAUAGAAUCAAGUGCAAUUUUUUAGCUGCAGAUGGCACAAUAAACCCACCACCAACAGUAAGCUUGUAAUAUGUGCAGUACAAGUGGUGGUAUAGUGUGGAAAAUGACAGGGGGGGGGGUGCAAGGACAUUUAAGAGAAAGUAUCCGGGGCACAAUUGGGGGAUUUAAUGGGGACUGAGACUUCUGUUUAUAAUGGAGGGGCAAGUGCCUAAAGUAAACAAAACUUUCAAAGGGCCCUGAUUUUGCACAUGAGAAAAAUGUUGAUUUAAUUAAUAUUAGUACAUACAUAGUUACAUGGCUAAAAGGAGAAAUACGUCGAUCAAGUUCAGUAUUCCUCAUAUCUGUUUUUGUUGAUGAUCUAAAAUAAAGCAAAAACCCAGGAAAAAAUUCUGACAGUCAAACUAGGAAAAAAAUUCUGGCAGUCAGAUCUCUUCAAGAAGCUAUUACCCCACAAAUUAAAAUUUAAAUCCCUGAAUAUUGUUUUUUAAUCCAAUUCAUCCAAUUGUACAGAUUCGGAUAACACCACCUCUUCAGACAGAGAAUUCCACAUCCUUUCCUUUGCUUUAGACUAAAUUGCCUUUCUUCAAAUCUAAAUAUCCUAUGUAUAGUCCUGUUUAUUAAUAGAUUUCCAGGUAUUGGUAUUGGCCCAGAAUAUGUUUGUAUAAUGCUAAGCAUAUCCCCUAUGAGGCACUAUUUCUUCAAACUAAAGAGAUUUAAAUGUGUUAACCUUUUUUUCAUAACUAAAAGGUUCCGUUAAUUUUCUGCACUUUUUCUAGUGGCAUAAUAUCCUUCUUUAAAACUGGUGCCUAAUUUAUAAAGAGGCAAAAUUAUAUUUUCAUCCUGAUAAAUAAUGCCCCUAUUUAUACAUAAUUCUUUACUGGCCGUAGCAACUUAUAAUUUUAGAACUUUCCGAAAUUAUGUAUAUCCCUUCAGAAGGAAAAGUCAGUGCUUAAAGAAAUACAUUUAGGAUAUGGACAGGAGCAGUGGCAAUGUGUAAGCCAUUACAAAUGUUUUAUCAAUCCUGUAAAACAUAGUAUGUAAUACUGUACAUUAAUAUUGUAAAGCAGGGGUUAAAAAUAAAAUGAGCUAUUUGUUGGCAGACCCCCAAACUCAUUGACUUCAAAGAGUGACAGGUGAGACACAGAGUCACUAUGAGAAAAGAGGCAGGUCAUCAGACUAUGUGGUGUAGACAGUGAGUUUUGGCGUCAUUAACACCUGGUAAGACAAACAAAAAACACACUCCAUCACCUUGCAGCUUGCAAUGUGGAAUGCAUUCUUUUACUCCAUUCUUUCCCAAGGUGAAAAAUUUAAGAUGUUUAUGGGUGGCAUGUGAAAGCAUAUGUUCAAUAUCCUUUAACAAUAUAUAAAUGACAUCCACACUGCAUGGAUGAUCCAUUUAAUAUGUAUUAAUUGCCAGGGGUGAUAUAUUCAAUGUUUAAUGCAUUUUACUUAACAAGGUAAAAAAAAAAAUAUAUACAAAAUGCACAUAAUGCUUUUUGUUAAUCUUACUUUUUCUCUUUCCACAGCGCAAAAUCCUUGCAAAGGGAAGCUACUUGCAACAUAGUCUGCGCCACAACAGUCAUUGAUGGUCAUCUCCAAUGCCUCAGAUAGCAAAGAUCAUGAAAAAAAAUCUGCACAGAAGGAAGAUAUGUACUGUCAGGAGCUGUCUAUGCUGUUAGAUAAAUGAAGGAUAUGUAUGUACAGAAAAUGUAUGUCUCUUUCUCACUCUCAAACAGGAGUCUAACCAGUCACACACAUGUUUAUUUAGUCAGGAUUUAAGAGCCAGCAACCUAAGCAAUGCACUGAAAAACCUGUCAAGUAACAGUGCUAAAACUGCAUACACUACCUCCCAUCUUAUAUCUCAACUGAUUUCAAGCAACAUGGAAAUUGCAACACAAACAUAGUUAUUCACUAAAGUCUGAAUAACUUCAUACUUAAUGGAGAAAAGCAUUCCAGUGCAGUACGGGUCCAUUCAGAUGGCAAAAUCCAGACACUGUUCACACUAUUUAACAAUGUCUGGAUUAUGCAGAGAAAUAUCCAAAUGAACCUAAAUGUGGUCUGGAUUUCAGCCAGAUCUAAUGCUGUCAAACAUCUGAAAUCUGAGCCAAGAUUUAAAAAAUAUGUGCUAUUUUCAAGCUGGCAACUGGACCAUUGGAGGUGCAAUAAUUAACUAUGUGGCCACUGGCCAGAGCUUGUAAGCCAGCUUCCAUAGAUCCCUCUACACCUGCUGGCCCCAUCCAUGGGCAUGGGGUAG